UUUACGGAGAGUUUGAUCCUGGCUCAGGACGAACGCUGGCGGCGUGCUUAACACAUGCAAGUCGAACGAUGAAGCCCAGCUUGCUGGGUGGAUUAGUGGCGAACGGGU
Cellulosimicrobium sp. is the source of this 108-nucleotide ribosomal RNA. It matches the Rfam family "Bacterial small subunit ribosomal RNA", at positions 1 to 107 of the family's 1533-position model. The record is from Rfam. Lineage: Bacteria; Bacillati; Actinomycetota; Actinomycetes; Micrococcales; Promicromonosporaceae.